Molecule: transfer RNA, 68 nt
Filed under: marine eukaryotic metagenome
Rfam family: tRNA
About the family: Transfer RNA (tRNA) molecules are approximately 80 nucleotides in length.
Source: RNAcentral
GGCAUGGCUCAACUGGUAGAGCAGCCGACUUGUAAUCGGCAGGUUGUGGGUUCAAGUCCUACUGCCAG